GCCGCGGUGGCGGAACUGGCAGACGCAUCCGCUUCAGGGGCGGACGGCCGCAAGGCUAUGAGAGUUCGAAUCUCUCCCGCGGCA
Molecule: transfer RNA, 84 nt
Filed under: Candidatus Ryanbacteria bacterium RIFCSPLOWO2_01_FULL_48_26
Lineage: Bacteria; Candidatus Ryaniibacteriota
Description: tRNA-Leu
Rfam family: tRNA
About the family: Transfer RNA (tRNA) molecules are approximately 80 nucleotides in length. Their secondary structure includes four short double-helical elements and three loops (D, anti-codon, and T loops).
Source: RNAcentral